GUCGAACGAAGUAGCAAUACUUAGUGGCAAACGGGAGAGUAUAAUGUGGGAAUCUGCCCAUUGGUUUGGAAUAACACGAGGAAACUUGUGCUAAUACCAGGUAAGCCUUUACGGGGAAAGCUUUAUGCGCCGAUGGAUGAGCCCGCACUUGAUUAGCUAGUUGGUAAGGUAAAAGCUUACCAAGGCUACGAUCAAUAGCUGAUCUGAGAGGAUGAUCAGCCACAUUGGGACUGAGACACGGCCCAAACUCCUACGGGAGGCAGCAGUAGGGAAUCUUGCACAAUGGGGGAAACCCUGAUGCAGCGAUGCCGCGUGAGUGAAGAAGGCCCUUGGGUUGUAAAGCUCUUUCGUCGGGGAAGAAUAUGACUGUACCCGAAUAAGAAGGUCCGGCUAACUUCGUGCCAGCAGCCGCGGUAAUACGAAGGGACCUAGCGUAGUUCGGAAUUACUGGGCUUAAAGAGCUCGUAGGUGGUUAGAGAAGUUGGUGGUGAAAUCCCAAGGCUUAACCUUGGAACUGCCACCAAAACUUUUUAACUAGAGUAUGAUAGAGGUAAGCGGAAUUUCUAGUGUAGAGGUGAAAUUCGUAGAUAUUAGAAAGAACACCAAUUGC
This 610-nucleotide ribosomal RNA is filed under the name uncultured Candidatus Pelagibacter sp. Its description in RNAcentral is "bacterial SSU rRNA". It matches the Rfam family "Bacterial small subunit ribosomal RNA", at positions 61 to 716 of the family's 1533-position model. The record is from RNAcentral. Lineage: Bacteria; Pseudomonadati; Pseudomonadota; Alphaproteobacteria; Candidatus Pelagibacterales; Candidatus Pelagibacteraceae.